Molecule: non-coding RNA, 599 nt
Organism: Phascolarctos cinereus (koala)
Lineage: Eukaryota; Metazoa; Chordata; Mammalia; Diprotodontia; Phascolarctidae
Source: RefSeq, a predicted model, not a curated record
CACUGGGGCCAGUUCUGUCCCCCAAACAUCAGUUAGGGCACAGACCUAGGCUGGUGAACUGUGAAUUUGUUCAGUUUGGAAAGAGACUGAGAUGCUUUGAGAACCAGCCCUCAGGAAAAUUACCAUCAGAGAAACAGAUGGUUCCUUGGGAAGAUGAUUGGGAGGCAUACUGGUGAUAAUUAUGAUGAUGUAAAAACAGAAGACAAAGUUUUGGCGAUAACUUUUCAAAUAUAUGGGAAAUAUCUAGGUGACUGGUAAGGUUGGGAGAUCCAUGAGGAUCAUCAUAGAGGUUUCAGUGAAAACCAGAAGAAAGAGUAGAGGUAGCCAAGUCCACUGAGGAGCCAGCAAAGCAGCCAAACAACUUGCUUGAUCCAGCCCAUGAAAGGACUGAUUUGUCAGCUGAGAUGCGGAGCCAUUCUACGUGCAAGCCCCUCACAUUAAGCAUGUGUGUCAUCCUUCAAUGGUUCUGCAUCAUGAAUUAUACUUGGUAAGGACUUGAAGGGAGAAAAGCACUCCCAGUGCCAGGACUAACAAGACAUCCCUCAUCCUCUCACGUUGCCUACAUCUGUGCAUCACUACACUUUUACUCUCCAUUUGAG